AGUGAACGCUGGCGGUAGGCCUAACACAUGCAAGUCGAACGGCAGCACAGGAGAGCUUGCUCUCUGGGUGGCGAGUGGCGGACGGGUGAGGAAUACAUCGGAAUCUACUCUGUCGUGGGGAUAACGUAGGGAAACUUACGCUAAUACCGCAUACGACCUACGGGUGAAAGCAGGGGACCUUCGGGCCUUGCGCGAUUGAAUGAGCCGAUGUCGGAUUAGCUAGUUGGCGGGGUAAAGGCCCACCAAGGCGACGAUCCGUCGCUGGUCUGAGAGGAUGAUCAGCCACACUGGAGCUGAGACACGGUCCAGACUCCUACGGGAGGCAGCAGUGGGGAAUAUUGGACAAUGGGCGCAAGCCUGAUCCAGCCAUACCGCGUGGGUGAAGAAGGCCUUCGGGUUGUAAAGCCCUUUUGUUGGGAAAGAAAUCCAGCUGGCUAAUACCCGGUUGGGAUGACGGUACCCAAAGAAUAAGCACCGGCUAACUUCGUGCCAGCCGCCGCUGUAA
This 505-nucleotide ribosomal RNA is filed under the name uncultured bacterium. Its description in RNAcentral is "partial 16S ribosomal RNA". It matches the Rfam family "Bacterial small subunit ribosomal RNA", at positions 29 to 523 of the family's 1533-position model. The record is from RNAcentral.